GCAUGGGUGGUUCAGUGGUAGAUUCCCUCCGCCUGCCACGCGGGAGGCCCGGGUUCGAUUCCCGGCCCAUGCA
Non-coding RNA from Canis lupus familiaris (dog), 73 nucleotides. The record is from the annotation of a RefSeq genome assembly. NCBI's taxonomy places the organism in Eukaryota, Metazoa, Chordata, Mammalia, Carnivora, Canidae.